This 253-nucleotide ribosomal RNA is filed under the name uncultured bacterium. Its description in RNAcentral is "partial 16S ribosomal RNA". It matches the Rfam family "Bacterial small subunit ribosomal RNA", at positions 524 to 776 of the family's 1533-position model. The record is from RNAcentral.
UACGUAGGGUGCGAGCGUUAAUCGGAAUUACUGGGCGCAAAGCGUGCGCAGGCGGUUUUGUAAGCCAGAUGUGAAAUCCCCGGGGUUAACCUGGGAAUGGCAUUUGGGACUGCAAGGCUGGAGUGCGGCAGAGGAGACUGGAAUUCCUGGUGUAGCAGUGAAAUGCGUAGAUAUCAGGAGGAACACCGAUGGCGAAGGCAGGUCUCUGGGCUGACACUGACGCUCAUGCACGAAAGCGUGGGGAGCAAACAGG